AUUCAGCUGACGAAUCCCGAAUAGGACGAAACGCGCGUCCUGGAU
RNAcentral lists this non-coding RNA (45 nucleotides) under Schistosoma bovis. Lineage: Eukaryota; Metazoa; Platyhelminthes; Trematoda; Strigeidida; Schistosomatidae. RNAcentral also lists the same sequence under 1 other name. The record is from RNAcentral.